AUUUAAGUAGUUUAACAUUAAAAUUUUGAUUUGUGGUAUCAAGGAUGUAAAUUUAUUACCUUAAAUU
RNAcentral lists this transfer RNA (67 nucleotides) under Dytiscus sharpi. Its description in RNAcentral is "tRNA-His". The record is from RNAcentral. Lineage: Eukaryota; Metazoa; Arthropoda; Insecta; Coleoptera; Dytiscidae.